RNAcentral lists this ribosomal RNA (468 nucleotides) under uncultured bacterium. RNAcentral describes it as "partial 16S ribosomal RNA". It matches the Rfam family "Bacterial small subunit ribosomal RNA", at positions 28 to 507 of the family's 1533-position model. The record is from RNAcentral.
GACGAACGCUGGCGGCGUGCUUAACACAUGCAAGUCGAACGGAAAGGCCCUGCUUUUGUGGGGUGCUCGAGUGGCGAACGGGUGAGUAACACGUGAGUAACCUGCCCUUGACUUUGGGAUAACUUCAGGAAACUGGGGCUCAUACCGGAUAGGAGCUCCUGCUGCAGGGUGGGGGUUGGAAAGUUUCGGCGGAUGGGGAUAGACUCGCGGCUUAUCAGCUUGUUGGUGGGGUAGUGGCUUACCAAGGCUUUGACGGGUAGCCGGCCUGAGAGGGUGACCGGGGCCAUUGGGACUGCGAUAGGGCCCAGAGUGCAACGGGAGGCAGCAGUGGGGAAUCUUACACAGUGGGGGGACGCGUGAUGCGAAAACGCCGCGUGCGGGAUGUCGGCCUUCGGGGUAUGAACCGCUUUCGCCUGUGACGAGGCGUGAGUGACGGUAAUGGGUAAAGAAGCACCGGCUAACUACGUG